Molecule: long non-coding RNA, 2198 nt
Organism: Macaca fascicularis (crab-eating macaque)
Lineage: Eukaryota; Metazoa; Chordata; Mammalia; Primates; Cercopithecidae
Source: Ensembl
UUUUUUUUUUUUUGUAUUUUUAGUAGAGACGGGGUUUCACCGUGUUAGCCAGGGUGGUCUCAGUCUCCUGACCUUGUGAACCGCCUGCCUCAGCCUCCCAAAGUGCUGGGAUUACAGGCGUGAGCCACCACACCCGCUCUACUAUUCCUACUUUUAUAAAUGAGGAAACUGAGACUCAGGGAUGGAAGGGGAUCAGGCAUCUCUGUGUAGGUGAGCAGCACCUGUCCAGACUAAUCAGCCCCUUUGGCCAAGAACAAAGUGUUUUCUGGGCCAAGAGCCAUUCCGCCCAAGGGAGACGGAUCCCAUAAGCCAAUUUAGUGCUAAAGGUGUGGCUAAAAAAUUCUUGAUAAGAUUUUUAGAUAACUUUAUAAAACAUAUAUGUAAUAUUUUUCAAGCUGUUUUAAGGUACUUUGUAAAUUGGUCUGGUCUAUUUCUGUUCCUUUUUAGCAUUCUUUUCUUAAAUGAAAUAAUUAUCUAGAACCCCUUAUCAGCAAGAACUAACAUUGUUUAGCACGUUCCUAGUGACUUUCCUGACAGGAUCUUUGCACUCUGCUCAGAUGUGGUCCAGGUUGUCCCAGAUCAUUCCAUGGAUACACUAAAUAUAGCCCUAAAAUACUUUUUGCCCUCUUUCCUCCUUUUUCUGCCCAUCAAAUCCAAAUCUGCCCUAAAACCUUUCCUGAUCAUCCCAGCCCUCAAUGAUUUCUCAUCUUCCCCAAAACCUGAAACCCUGCCCACACUUGCUCCUGCUAUCCCAGUGCAGUUGCUGGGAAUGUGGGGGCAAGGUGUCUCCACAGCUGGGCGUGAGCUCCUUGGGAACUGUGCCUGUUAUCCAGUCUUUGUUCCAGCCGCUUCUGCCACCCCUGCUGCUUCCUAGAUAGGCCUGAGCCUUAAGAUUGGAUUGGCGGUGUAUGCCAUGUUCCAUUGUUAUCUCUUCAUUGAUUAAUUGAUGUAUAUGUGUAAAUGAGAAAGACAGUCAGCGUAUCUGGAAAGUACAAAAAAGAUCAGAAAAACCAGACCACCUUGAAAUAAAACAUCAUAUUCACUCUGGGGAAAUUUUAUUGAAUGUUUUCUACUAUUUCUCUCUUGAUAUCAAUGAAAUAGGAGCCCAAAGACCUGAGAAGGCUCCUAAGUCAGCCACAUGCUGUGUGACUUUAGACCAGUCGCCAUCUACCGCCACAACACUGUUGAAUUCUGGUUUGCACAUCGGUCAGUGAUUUCAAUUGCAACUCAGUUAAGGGUGUGUGUGAGGUUGAGAUAGGAGGUGUUUUCUAACUGAUACAGGUGCUCUGGACAAUGUAAUUAAAAGCCAGGCAAGGAUGCAUAAAUAAAGAGCUCACAGCCACACAGGGCUGACCGUGUGCAUCAGAUGAGGCUAUGAGUGUGCCCUGUAAACUGCAGAGUGAUCAUAAAAAGGGAAAGCACUGUACAAUGCAAGAUGCUGAUGAUGUGAUUACUUGUCAGGUCACGCCCUGUGUGGUCCAUCCACAGUGACAAGGCAGCUCAGCGGUUUCCCGGAGACUCGGUCCAUUCCUGGACUCCUGCCUGUUUCUGCACAGAGGACCCCUGUCUGUUUCCGCACAGGCUCCAGCCUCAGGCCAGAGGCAGGGGUGCAGACCUUAGGCCCCAGAGCAUGAGCGGAGCAGUGAGGGGCAAGGGGCAGGGCAGAUGAGAGAACCAUGCUGACUGCCUCCCCUGCCCAAAGCCAGGUGCAUCCUCUGAGGCUGAGGCUUUGGGUUCACCGUCCAACUCCAAGGACACUGCUGGCAGCAGAGCCCCCACUGUAGCAUCCUGACAGAUACAAAGCAAAGAGCUUGGCCCUCGCAGUGGGGGUUCCUGUUUGACACUCUGAGGCCAGGGACUCUGCAUUUGUAGUAAGAGCAACACUGACAGCUACCACUUUUUGGAAGCUACACACACACUGUCUCAUUGGAGCUUCCCGGCAGCCCCAUUUCACAGAUGAACCUGCUGAGACCAGAUAGGUCUCAUGACAUAACCGGGCAUGUACCACAGAGCGGCAGAGUCGAGCUCAGUGCAGGAUGCUCUGAUGCUACCUGUGCAUGUCUUCUCCCGGGGUCUGAUACGUGUUUGCCGCACCUCUGGCUUGCUCAGCAAGUGACUGAAGAGUCCCGUUUAGCAGCAAAUAGCAGAUGACAUGAGGCAGAGUCAGGUCGUGGAGGUCUUGACCAUGACCCAGAGGA